AAGUCAGUUCAGUGAGUCCAGGAGAGAGAUUCAAAGAACUCCACUCCUGAUGGGACUAAUAGAAGAUACACAGGGCUGGGGCAGGGAGGAGCGGGGGAUGAUGAAACUUUAGGAAAUCCUAUGGAUGUGGGAAAGCAGAAGCUUGAGGAGAGCACCUGCCAUAGAAUGGGGCUCCAGAAGUAAGGCUACUCGAGUUAAUCUAACAUGAGAUUGAAGGACAACUGAUGGACCAGACAGUGAGUUCCAUCGAUAUCCAAACAAUAUCAAGAAAUCUAAAAGAAACUCCCUGUCCCUCUUCCACUACCACCCUACCUCUGCGCAUUAUGUCCUGAGAUGCUUUAUGGAAGCUUUACUUGAGAUAAUGGACAAGAGUCACUUUGCAUAAUAAGGAUGGAACCCAUUAUAAAAAUUCUAGAAGAAAAAACAGUGGACUUGAGUCAAGAAAACUUGUUGCUAGAACCAAUCUACUUAAUGAUCGUGUGAUCUGAGGGGAAGGUCCCCAGCACAGUAAACUGGACCGUGUUGAUUCCCAUCAACAAGCAUUUAUUAUGGACUUAAUGUGUCAGAAUUGUGCUAGCCAUGGGAAAUGCCAUGCCAUCAAAGAUGAAGCACAUCCUUCUGUCAGUCAGUAAACAUCAAAAGUGGAAAGUGG
Molecule: long non-coding RNA, 652 nt
Organism: Monodelphis domestica (gray short-tailed opossum)
Lineage: Eukaryota; Metazoa; Chordata; Mammalia; Didelphimorphia; Didelphidae
Source: RefSeq, a predicted model, not a curated record